AUGCAGCAGAUGAACAUGGGGGAGUCCAAGUAUGAUCAAGUUUUAGGAGUAGCUAAUGGAGAUUUAGUCACUCAGACAGAGGAUGAAGUGAUCCUGUCUGAAAGAGCUUCCCUGACUAUGAAUUGUUCCUAUAAAACCACAGGUUACCCAGUCCUGUUCUGGUACAUCCAGUAUCCUGGAGAAGGUCCAAAGAUUCUCUUUCGAGUCUCAAAGGCCAACAAGAAAGGAAGCAACAGGGGCUAUGAAGGCACAGGUGAUAAAGAUGCCACCUCCUUCCACGUGCACAAAGCCUUAGUCCAGGAGUCAGACUCCGCUGUGUACUGCUGUGCUCUGGAUGGUACAGUGGCAGGAACUGCAGGGGCGGCAGAGCACAAAUUCUGA
Molecule: non-coding RNA, 381 nt
Organism: Nannospalax galili (Upper Galilee mountains blind mole rat)
Lineage: Eukaryota; Metazoa; Chordata; Mammalia; Rodentia; Spalacidae
Source: the annotation of a RefSeq genome assembly